AUUGAACGCUGGCGGCAUGCCUUACACAUGCAAGUCGAACGGCAGCACGGGUGCUUGCACCUGGUGGCGAGUGGCGAACGGGUGAGUAAUACAUCGGAACAUGUCCUGUAGUGGGGGAUAGCCCGGCGAAAGCCGGAUUAAUACCGCAUACGAUCUACGGAUGAAAGCGGGGGACCUUCGGGCCUCGCGCUAUAGGGUUGGCCGAUGGCUGAUGAGCUAGUUGGUGGGGUAAAGGCCUACCAAGGCGACGAUCAGUAGCUGGUCUGAGAGGACGACCAGCCAAACUGGGACUGGAACACGGCCCAGACUCCUACGGGAGGCAGCAGUGGGGAAUUUUGGACAAUGGGCGAAAGCCUGAUCCAGCAAUGCCGCGUGUGUGAAGAAGGCCUUCGGGUUGUAAAGCACUUUUGUCCGGAAAGAAAUCCUUGGCCCUAAUACGGUCGGGGGAUGACGGUACCGGAAGAAUAAGCACCAGCUAACUACGUG
RNAcentral lists this ribosomal RNA (486 nucleotides) under uncultured bacterium. RNAcentral's name for it is "partial 16S ribosomal RNA". It matches the Rfam family "Bacterial small subunit ribosomal RNA", at positions 30 to 507 of the family's 1533-position model. The record is from RNAcentral.